RNAcentral lists this ribosomal RNA (492 nucleotides) under uncultured bacterium. RNAcentral describes it as "partial 16S ribosomal RNA". It matches the Rfam family "Bacterial small subunit ribosomal RNA", at positions 29 to 507 of the family's 1533-position model. The record is from RNAcentral.
AGUGAACGCUGGCGGUAGGCCUAACACAUGCAAGUCGAACGGCAGCACAGUAAGAUCUUGCUCUUACGGGUGGCGAGUGGCGGACGGGUGAGGAAUACAUCGGAAUCUACUUUUUCGUGGGGGAUAACGUAGGGAAACUUACGCUAAUACCGCAUACGACCUACGGGUGAAAGCAGGGGAUCUUCGGACCUUGCGCGAUUGAAUGAGCCGAUGUCGGACUAGCUAGUUGGCGGGGUAAAGGCCCACCAAGGCGACGAUCCGUAGCUGGUCUGAGCGGAUGAUCAGCCACAAUGGAACUGAGACACGGUCGAGACUCCUACGAGAGGCAGCAGUGGGGAAUAUUGGAGAACGGUCGGAAGACUGCUGAAGCAAUACCGCGUGGGUGAAGAAGGACUUCGGGUUGUAAAGAACUUCUGUUGGGAAAGAAAAGCAGCAGCUUCAUAUCUCGCUGUUCUGACGGUAGCCAAAGAAUAAGCACCGGCUAACUUCGUG